GGUCUUUAGUUUUUUAUUUAAGAUCAGGCCUGCCCAUUGAUUUGAAAUAUUAAAAGGCUGCGGUAUUUUAACUGUACGAAGGUAGCAUAAUCAUUUGUCUUUUAAUUGGAGGCUAGAAUGAAUGGUUUAAUGAGAAAUAUUCUUUCUUUUUUUAAUUUAUUUUAAUUUAAUUUUUUAGUUAAAAAGCUAAAAUUUUUUUAUAGGACGAGAAGACCCUAUAGAAGUUUACUUUAUUAAUAAUUUUAUAUUUUUUGUUAUUAAAAUAUUUUUUUAAAUUAUAAAGUUUUGUUGGGGUGACAUUAAAAUUUUUUUAACUUUUAAUUUUUCUUUUCAUUAAUUUAUGUUUUUUUUGAUCCAGUAUUUAUUGAUUAAAAGUUUAACUUACCUUAGGGAUAACAGCGUAAUUUUUUCGGAGAGUUCAUAUCGAUGAAUAAGUUUGCGA
RNAcentral lists this ribosomal RNA (442 nucleotides) under Limnogonus capensis. RNAcentral's name for it is "partial 16S large subunit ribosomal RNA". Lineage: Eukaryota; Metazoa; Arthropoda; Insecta; Hemiptera; Gerridae. The record is from RNAcentral.